CAAGUCGAACGGGCCCGGCCGCAAGGCCGGGUCAGUGGCGCAAGGGUGAGUAAGGCGACGGUAACCAACCCCAUGGUCGGGCAUAGCCGCGGGAAACUGCGGGUAAUCCCCAGCGACGUCCCGGGCGGGCAUCCGCCCAGGACCAAAGCUCCGGCGCCGUGGGACGGGCUGUCGUGGUAUUAGGUCGUUGGCGGGGUAAUGGCCCACCAAGCCUGCGAUGCCUACCGGGCGUGCGAGCGUGGCCCGGCACACUGGGACUGAGACACUGCCCAGACUCCUACGGGAGGCUGCAGUCGAGAAUCUUCGGCAAUGGGCGCAAGCCUGACCGAGCGACGCCGCGUGGAGGAUGAAGGCCUUCGGGUUGUAAACUCCUGUCGAGGGGGAGGAAGGCCGGGCGACCGGCUUGACCGAUCCCUGGAGGAAGCACGGGCUAAGUUCGUGCCAGCAGCCGCGGUAAGACGAACCGUGCGAACGUUAUUCGGAAUCACUGGGCUUAAAGCGCGUGUAGGCGGAUGGGGACGUCGGUCGCUGAAAGCCCCCGGCUCAACCGGGGAACGGGCGCCGAAACGCCCCGUCUGGAGGGACGUAGGGGGACCUGGAACUUCCGGUGGAGCGGUGAAAUGCGUUGAGAUCGGAAGGAACGCCCGUGGCGAAAGCGAGGUCCUGGACGUCUUCUGACGCUGAGACGCGAAAGCUAGGGGAGCGAACGGGAUUAGAUACCCCGGUAGUCCUAGCUGUAAACGAUGGGCACUGGGUAGGGGGCUCGCCGAUGGGCUCCCUGCCGCAGGGAAACCGUGAAGUGCCCCGCCUGGGGAGUAUGGUCGCAAGGCUGAAACUCAAAGGAAUUGACGGGGGCUCAC
This 860-nucleotide ribosomal RNA is filed under the name uncultured Planctomycetia bacterium. Its description in RNAcentral is "bacterial SSU rRNA". It matches the Rfam family "Bacterial small subunit ribosomal RNA", at positions 58 to 924 of the family's 1533-position model. Lineage: Bacteria; Pseudomonadati; Planctomycetota; Planctomycetia. The record is from RNAcentral.